UAGAGUUUGAUCCUGGCUCAGGACGAACGCUGGCGGCGUGCCUAAUACAUGCAAGUAGAACGCUGAAGAGAGGAGCUUGCUCUUCUUGGAUGAGUUGCGAACGGGUGAGUAACGCGUAGGUAACCUGCCUUGUAGCGGGGGAUAACUAUUGGAAACGAUAGCUAAUACCGCAUAACAAUGGAUGACACAUGUCAUUUAUUUGAAAGGGGCAAUUGCUCCACUACAAGAUGGACCUGCGUUGUAUUAGCUAGUAGGUGAGGUAAUGGCUCACCUAGGCGACGAUACAUAGCCGACCUGAGAGGGUGAUCGGCCACACUGGGACUGAGACACGGCCCAGACUCCUACGGGAGGCAGCAGUAGGGAAUCUUCGGCAAUGGGGGCAACCCUGACCGAGCAACGCCGCGUGAGUGAAGAAGGUUUUCGGAUCGUAAAGCUCUGUUGUAAGUCAAGAACGGGUGUGAGAGUGGAAAGUUCACACUGUGACGGUAGCUUACCAGAAAGGGACGGCUAACUACGUGCCAGCAGCCGCGGUAAUACGUAGGUCCCGAGCGUUGUCCGGAUUUAUUGGGCGUAAAGCGAGCGCAGGCGGUUUGAUAAGUCUGAAGUUAAAGGCUGUGGCUCAACCAUAGUUCGCUUUGGAAACUGUCAAACUUGAGUGCAGAAGGGGAGAGUGGAAUUCCAUGUGUAGCGGUGAAAUGCGUAGAUAUAUGGAGGAACCACCCGGUGGCGAAAGCGGCUCUCUGGUCUGUAANCUGACCGCUGAGGCUCGAAAGCGUGGGGAGCGAACAGGAUUAGAUACCCUGGUAGUCCACGCCCGUAAAACGAUGAGUGCUAGGUGUUGGAUCCUUUCCGGGAUUCAGUGNCCGAAGCUAACGCAUUAAGCACUCCNCCCUGGGGAGUACNACCCCCAAGGGU
RNAcentral lists this ribosomal RNA (915 nucleotides) under uncultured bacterium. RNAcentral's name for it is "bacterial SSU rRNA". It matches the Rfam family "Bacterial small subunit ribosomal RNA", at positions 1 to 895 of the family's 1533-position model. The record is from RNAcentral.